Molecule: long non-coding RNA, 572 nt
Organism: Sciurus carolinensis (gray squirrel)
Lineage: Eukaryota; Metazoa; Chordata; Mammalia; Rodentia; Sciuridae
Exons: 3
Source: RefSeq, a predicted model, not a curated record
CCAACUGCCAUGUUAGGAUGAUGGAUGAAGACUAGGAGCUGUAGAGAAGGGUAAGCCAGCGUUAAUUUCUGGCUGGUGUACAUAGCUUCAGCCAAACAAAAACUUCACAGAAAUAAAACAGGCAGGAGAAGAGCAGAUCAAGAGCAGAGGUAGAAUUAGGAACCAUGGAAAACUGCAAAAGAAAGGUAAAGGGAGAGGCUCAAAGCCCAGACAUCGGCAGAAUGUGUCUCUGUCACCGAAGGGACCAGAAGAGAGUUGGUCUGGCAGACCAGAACAAGCAGUGAUGGAAGAAACCCCUGGAAAAGAAAGUGCUCAGAGGGAUCCAUAUUUACCCAACUUGCAGCUGGGCCAUCCCAAACCUGCUGUGGGGUUGUUAGUCUUUGACAGUCAUUUACCGAAGUCAUAUCAAGAAAAAAAGGUUUGGUCUCUCCAUUGUUCUAAGGAUAGUAGACAAGAAGGAAAAGAUUCCAUGAGUUGAGCAACUUUCCUCUGCUACACUGGUCUGCCUUGAUGUUUCUGCUUCACUUCAGUCUCAGAACAAUGGAGACAGAGGACCAUGGAUUGAAAUCUCU